RNAcentral lists this small RNA (451 nucleotides) under Histoplasma capsulatum. RNAcentral describes it as "hypothetical RNA". Lineage: Eukaryota; Fungi; Ascomycota; Eurotiomycetes; Onygenales; Ajellomycetaceae. The record is from RNAcentral. RNAcentral also lists the same sequence under 1 other name.
GCAAUCUAUGAAUCAACCCAAAGCCCAACCAAACGAGGACUUUAAAGUUUGGCUCUGUCUUGAUGUCUCACUGGGCAGCUGAUGUCUGACAUUAUUACGGAGCACUACUGUUGAUGCUCAGCCGCCACCGCUAGUUGGUGUGUAAUGAACGAGCGUGCAUGGGUAAUUGGUCAUCGACGAAAUGGAACCAGGGUUACAUCCAUCUAUGUCAUAUCCCAGAAAAAACGCCAUACAAAGAAUCCUUCUUCCCCUCACCUAUAACUAAAAGAAAAGAAAGAAAGCGGUUAUCGAGAUAAAUGGAAAGAGGGGUAGGAAAGACCACAUACAAGAACUAGGACCUGAUGAAGAGAGGAGUAGGAGAAAGUCGGAAAAUUUUUCAUUAAAAUGGAACCUACUCUUGCAACAAUACUGAGGCAUCACGACGUUGACCACCAGACUGACCCUUCACCUA